GACGAACGCUGGCGGCGUGCUUAACACAUGCAAGUCGAACGGAAAGGCCCUGCUUUUGUGGGGUGCUCGAGUGGCGAACGGGUGAGUAACAAGUGAGUAACCUGCCCUUGACUUUGGGAUAACUUCAGGAAACUGGGGCUAAUACCGGAUAGGAGCUCCUGCUGCAUGGUGGGGGUUGGAAAGUUUCGGCGGUUGGGGAUGGACUCGCGGCUUAUCAGCUUGUUGGUGGGGUAGUGGCUUACCAAGGCUUUGACGGGUAGCCGGCCUGAGAGGGUGACCGGCCACAUUGGGACUGAGAUACGGCCCAGACUCCUACGGGAGGCAGCAGUGGGGAAUAUUGCACAAUGGGCGGAAGCCUGAUGCAGCAACGCCGCGUGUGGGAUGACGGCCUUCGGGUUGUAAACCGCUUUCGCCUGUGACGAAGCGUGAGUGACGGUAAUGGGUAAAGAAGCACCGGCUAACUACGUG
Molecule: ribosomal RNA, 468 nt
Filed under: uncultured bacterium
Lineage: Bacteria
Description: partial 16S ribosomal RNA
Rfam family: Bacterial small subunit ribosomal RNA
Source: RNAcentral